RNAcentral lists this ribosomal RNA (485 nucleotides) under Spodoptera ochrea. RNAcentral's name for it is "partial 16S ribosomal RNA". The record is from RNAcentral. Lineage: Eukaryota; Metazoa; Arthropoda; Insecta; Lepidoptera; Noctuidae.
UUAUCAAAAACAUGUCUUUUUGAAUUUAAUAUAAAGUCUAAUCUGCCCACUGAUUAUUAAUAUUAAAGGGCUGCAGUAUAUUGACUGUACAAAGGUAGCAUAAUCAUUAGUCAUUUAAUUGAUGACUUGUAUGAAAGAUUGGAUGAAAUAUAGACUGUCUCUUAAUUAAAUUAUAGAAUUUAAUUUUUUAAUUAAAAAGUUAAAAUAAAUUAAAAAGACGAGAAGACCCUAUAGAGUUUUAUAUUUAAAUUAGUUGAGAUUAUUUAUAUAAUUAUUAAUUAAAAUUAUUUUAAAUAUUUUGUUGGGGUGACAAAAAAAUAUAAAUAACUUUUUUUAUUAUUUAACAUAUAUAAGUGAAUGUAUGAUCCAAUAUUAUUGAUUAUAAGAAAAAAUUACCUUAGGGAUAACAGCGUAAUUUUUUUUUUUAGUUCAAAUAAGAAAAAGAGUUUGCGACCUCGAUGUUGGAUUAAGAUAAAAUUUAAAUG